AACGUACGCUGGCGGCACGCCUAACACAUGCAAGUCGAACGAAGUAGCAAUACUUAGUGGCAGACGGGUGAGUAACAUGUGGGUAUUUACCCUUUGGCCUGGAAUAACACGAGGAAACUUGUGCUAAUACCGGAUAAGUCUUUACGGAGAAAGCUUUAUGCACCAUUGGAUGAGCCCGCAAUUGAUUAGUUUGUUGGUGGGGUAAUGGCCUACCAAGACUGUGAUCAAUAGCUGAUUUGAGAGGAUGAUCAGCCACAUUGGGACUGAGACACGGCCCAAACUCCUACGGGAGGCAGCAGUGGGGAAUCUUGCACAAUGGAGGAAACUCUGAUGCAGCGAUGCCGCGUGAGUGAAGAAGGCCCUUGGGUUGUAAAGCUCUUUCGUCGGGGAAGAAAAUGACUGUACCCGAAUAAGAAGGUCCGGCUAACUUCGUGCCAGCAGCCGCGGUAAUACGAAGGGACCUAGCGUAGUUCGGAAUUACUGGGCUUAAAGAGUUCGUAGGCGGUUGAAAAAGUUGGUGGUGAAAUCCCAGAGCUUAACUCUGGAACUGCCAUCAAAACUUUUCAGCUAGAGUUUGAUAGAGGAAAGCAGAAUUUCUAGUGUAGAGGUGAAAUUCGUAGAUAUUAGAAAGAAUACCAAUUGCGAAGGCAGCUUUCUGGAUCAUUACUGACGCUGAGGAACGAAAGCAUGGGUAGCGAAGAGGAUUAGAUACCCUCGUAGUCCAUGCCGUAAACGAUGUGUGUUAGACGUUGGAAAUUUAUUUUCAGUGUCGCAGCGAAAGCGAUAAACACACCGCCUGGGGAGUACGACCGCAAGGUUAAAACUCAAAUGAAUUGACGGGGACCCGCACAAGUAGUGGAGCAUGUGGUUUAAUUCGAAGAUACGCGCAGAACCUUACCAACACUUGACAUGUUCGUCGCGACUUUAAGAGAUUAAAGUUUUCGGUUCGGCCGGACGAAACACAGGUGCUGCAUGGCUGUCGUCAGCUCGUGUCGUGAGAUGUUGGGUUAAGUCCCGCAACGAGCGCAACCCUCACUUUUAGUUGCCAUCAUUAAGUUGGGCACUCUGAAAGAACUGCCAGUGAUAAGCUGGAGGAAGGUGGGGAUGACGUCAAGCCCUCAUGGCCCUUACGUGUUGGGCUACACACGUGCUACAAUGGUAUCUACAACAGGAAGCAAAACAGCGAUGUUAAGCAAAUCCUUAAAAGAUACCUCAGUUCGGAUUGCACUCUGCAACUCGAGUGCAUGAAGCUGGAAUUACUAGUAAUCGUGGAUCAGCGUGCCACGGUGAAUGCGUUCCCGGGUCUUGUACACACCGCCCGUCACACCAUGGGAGUUGGUUCUACCUUAAGGCAAGGCAUAAAACCCUUGACCACGGUAUAGUCAGCGACUGGGGUG
RNAcentral lists this ribosomal RNA (1397 nucleotides) under uncultured bacterium. Its description in RNAcentral is "bacterial SSU rRNA". It matches the Rfam family "Bacterial small subunit ribosomal RNA". The record is from RNAcentral.